AGAUUAAGUUAUUAAGGGCGCACGGUGGAUGCCUUGGCACUAGAAGCCGAUGAAGGACGUUACUAACGACGAUAUGCUUUGGGGAGCUGUAAGUAAGCUUUGAUCCAGAGAUUUCCGAAUGGGGAAACCCAGCAUGAGUUAUGUCAUGUUAUCGAUAUGUGAAUACAUAGCAUAUCAGAAGGCACACCCGGAGAACUGAAACAUCUUAGUACCCGGAGGAAGAGAAAGAAAAUUCGAUUCCCUUAGUAGCGGCGAGCGAAACGGGAAGAGCCCAAACCAACAAGCUUGCUUGUUGGGGUUGUAGGACACUCUAUACGGAGUUACAAAGGACGACAUUAGACGAAUCAUCUGGAAAGAUGAAUCAAAGAAGGUAAUAAUCCUGUAGUCGAAAAUGUUGUCUCUCUUGAGUGGAUCCUGAGUACGACGGAGCACGUGAAAUUCCGUCGGAAUCUGGGAGGACCAUCUCCUAAGGCUAAAUACUCUCUAGUGACCGAUAGUGAACCAGUACCGUGAGGGAAAGGUGAAAAGCACCCCGGAAGGGGAGUGAAAGAGAUCCUGAAACCGUGUGCCUACAAGUAGUCAGA
Molecule: ribosomal RNA, 584 nt
Filed under: Rheinheimera mesophila
Lineage: Bacteria; Pseudomonadati; Pseudomonadota; Gammaproteobacteria; Chromatiales; Chromatiaceae
Description: bacterial LSU rRNA
Rfam family: Bacterial large subunit ribosomal RNA
Source: RNAcentral